UAUUGCACAAUGGGGGAAACCCUGAUGCAGCGACGCCGCGUGAGUGAAGAAGUACCUCGGUAUGUAAAGCUCUAUCAGCAGGGAAGAAAAUGACGGUACCUGACUAAGAAGCACCGGCUAAAUACGUGCCAGCAGCCGCGGUAAUACGUAUGGUGCAAGCGUUAUCCGGAUUUACUGGGUGUAAAGGGAGCGCAGGCGGCGCGGCAAGUCAGAUGUGAAAGCCCGGGGCUCAACCCCGGGACUGCAUUUGAAACUGCCGGGCUAGAGUAUCGGAGAGGCAAGUGGAAUUCCUAGUGUAGCGGUGAAAUGCGUAGAUAUUAGGAGGAACACCAGUGGCGAAGGCGGCUUGCUGGACGAUCACUGACGCUGAGGCUCGAAAGCGUGGGGAGCAAACAGG
Molecule: ribosomal RNA, 397 nt
Filed under: uncultured bacterium
Lineage: Bacteria
Description: bacterial SSU rRNA
Rfam family: Bacterial small subunit ribosomal RNA
Source: RNAcentral